Equus asinus (donkey) is the source of this 744-nucleotide long non-coding RNA. The record is from Ensembl. NCBI's taxonomy places the organism in Eukaryota, Metazoa, Chordata, Mammalia, Perissodactyla, Equidae.
GUUCACUGUAGACCUUUGUAAGCCUGUGUCCUUUCCUUUUAUCUACCCCUGCCUCCUUUGUCUUCCUAGGAGCACAUUUGAGCUUCUACUCGAAUCUACAUCUCCUGAAUUGCAAUUCUUGAGACCCCCAAAUAAACUUUUUGGUUCUUUUGCAGUUUAUGCCUCUUAUUUGCUGACUUUACAUGGUGACAGAAGUGGGAUCCCUAGCUACUGACCUUCAAUUCUGGUGCCACUUCACAGACACAAGCAAGGUGCCUGCAAAGAAUCUUUUGUGCUCUGUCGUCUCCUCCUGGUGGCUCUGGUUCCUGGUGAUUGGUUGCAGACAAUGCUACAGGCAUCAGGAAUGGCGGAGCCAAGAGACGGGAAGUCAUGGGUGACUGACACACCCUGUGGAAGAGAACCACCUGCCCAACACGAAACCCACCUUGGCCUGUAAGGUUUCUCAAGAACUUGCUCCCAGAAAAAACCUGGAUGGAGAACAAAACAGAAAGUUAGCAGUGGGGAAGGAACUCGGGGCUGCAACAGCGCGCGGCUGCAGAGGCUGAAGCAGGAGCCGCGGCGGAGCCGGGAAGCGGGGGGCGCUGCAGACGGAACAGGUGCAGCCGACGGGUCAGUGCGCCCCCCUCGGGGGUGGUGUAGGGCCACCCGGACUCCGCGGGAAGAGUGGGGAGUGGGGCCAUGCAGCCGGGCUCUCCCCUGGCGCAGCAGCGGGACAGCGGCCAGGGCCGGGGGUGCAUUGGCGUC